GUGUUCAUGCCCUCAUGCAAUCUCAGGGUCAACAUCCCCUGAAGCAAGCAUCAAUGGGAAUGAGUGCUUCUGGAGCAAGCCAGGCUAUAUAUGAUGGUGGUUUCCAGAAUCUUGCUGCUCAGCAGCUCAUGUAUUACCAGUAAUGUGCAGAAAUAUGGCUUGACAUUUCGUUGCCUUUCGUUUAGACUAGAUGAGUUUUUAUAAAUGUCUAGAUUUUCUUGUAUUCUGUUCUCGAAAUCAAGGCUUGGUAUGCGGUACUCACAUGUAAGAAUAUUAUGAGGUGAACAUUUUAUGUCUUUGAUUUCGUAAGGUGAGUGUAUACUGCGAGUUUU
This 332-nucleotide unclassified non-coding RNA is filed under the name Hevea brasiliensis (rubber tree). Lineage: Eukaryota; Viridiplantae; Streptophyta; Magnoliopsida; Malpighiales; Euphorbiaceae. The record is from RNAcentral.